AGGGGAGUGAAAAAGAACCUGAAACCGUGUACGUACAAGCAGUGGGAGCACGCUUAGGCGUGUGACUGCGUACCUUUUGUAUAAUGGGUCAGCGACUUAUAUUCUGUAGCAAGGUUAACCGAAUAGGGGAGCCGAAGGGAAACCGAGUCUUAACUGGGCGUUAAGUUGCAGGGUAUAGACCCGAAACCCGGUGAUCUAGCCAUGGGCAGGUUGAAGGUUGGGUAACACUAACUGGAGGACCGAACCGACUAAUGUUGAAAAAUUAGCGGAUGACUUGUGGCUGGGGGUGAAAGGCCAAUCAAACCGGGAGAUAGCUGGUUCUCCCCGAAAGCUAUUUAGGUAGCGCCUCGUGAAUUCAUCUCCGGGGGUAGAGCACUGUUUCGGCAAGGGGGUCAUCCCGACUUACCAACCCGAUGCAAACUGCGAAUACCGGAGAAUGUUAUCACGGGAGACACACGGCGGGUGCUAACGUCCGUCGUGAAGAGGGAAACAACCCAGACCGCCAGCUAAGGUCCCAAAGUCAUGGUUAAGUGGGAAACGAUGUGGGAAGGCCCAGACAGCCAGGAUGUUGGCUUAGAAGCAGCCAUCAUUUAAAGAAAGCGUAAUAGCUCACUGGUCGAGUCGGCCUGCGCGGAAGAUGUAACGGGGCUAAACCAUGCACCGAAGCUGCGGCAGCGACGCUGAUGCGUUGUUGGGUAGGGGAGCGUUCUGUAAGCCUGUGAAGGUGUGCUGUGAGGCAUGCUGGAGGUAUCAGAAGUGCGAAUGCUGACAUAAGUAACGAUAAAGCGGGUGAAAAGCCCGCUCGCCGGAAGACCAAGGGUUCCUGUCCAACGUUAAUCGGGGCAGGGUGAGUCGACCCCUAAGGCGAGGCCGAAAGGCGUAGUCGAUGGGAAACAGGUUAAUAUUCCUGUACUUGGUGUUACUGCGAAGGGGGGACGGAGAAGGCUAUGUUGGCCGGGCGACGGUUGUCCCGGUUUAAGCGUGUAGGCUGGUUUUCCAGGCAAAUCCGGAAAAUCAAGGCUGAGGCGUGAUGACGAGGCACUACGGUGCUGAAGCAACAAAUGCCCUGCUUCCAGGAAAAGCCUCUAAGCAUCAGGUAACAUCAAAUCGUACCCCAAACCGACACAGGUGGUCAGGUAGAGAAUACCAAGGCGCUUGAGAGAACUCGGGUGAAGGAACUAGGCAAAAUGGUGCCGUAACUUCGGGAGAAGGCACGCUGAUAUGUAGGUGAAGUCCCUCGCGGAUGGAGCUGAAAUCAGUCGAAGAUACCAGCUGGCUGCAACUGUUUAUUAAAAACACAGCACUGUGCAAACACGAAAGUGGACGUAUACGGUGUGACGCCUGCCCGGUGCCGGAAGGUUAAUUGAUGGGGUCAGCGCAAGCGAAGCUCUUGAUCGAAGCCCCGGUAAACGGCGGCCGUAACUAUAACGGUCCUAAGGUAGCGAAAUUCCUUGUCGGGUAAGUUCCGACCUGCACGAAUGGCGUAAUGAUGGCCAGGCUGUCUCCACCCGAGACUCAGUGAAAUUGAACUCGCUGUGAAGAUGCAGUGUACCCGCGGCAAGACGGAAAGACCCCGUGAACCUUUACUAUAGCUUGACACUGAACAUUGAGCCUUGAUGUGUAGGAUAGGUGGGAGGCUUUGAAGUGUGGACGCCAGUCUGCAUGGAGCCGGCCUUGAAAUACCACCCUUUAAUGUUUGAUGUUCUAACGUUGACCCGU
RNAcentral lists this ribosomal RNA (1719 nucleotides) under Escherichia coli. RNAcentral's name for it is "partial 23S ribosomal RNA". It matches the Rfam family "Bacterial large subunit ribosomal RNA", at positions 532 to 2236 of the family's 2925-position model. Lineage: Bacteria; Pseudomonadati; Pseudomonadota; Gammaproteobacteria; Enterobacterales; Enterobacteriaceae. The record is from RNAcentral.